This is a non-coding RNA of Paramisgurnus dabryanus, 4135 nucleotides long. The record is from RefSeq and is a predicted model, not a curated record. NCBI's taxonomy places the organism in Eukaryota, Metazoa, Chordata, Actinopteri, Cypriniformes, Cobitidae.
AGAUGGAUCAGCUAUGUCUGUUUGUGAGACACUUAAAGUUUUGCUUAAGGGUGUUGGGGAACCCUGGGUCUUAUAAACAAAAUAUACGUGUGUUUACAAUGUACUUCUGAUACUGGAUACCAUUAACUUAAAGUUACAUGCUGUUAUAGCAAUUUUAAUAAUGUGCUAAGUUGUGUUUCCUUGCCUUUCCUCGUCACUACGUUGCCUUCACAUAGUUUGUGCUGUCUAGACACAUGUGUGGCAAGUCAUUUUUUACUUGCAUUUCAUUUUAGUUAGUAACGUCUCUCUUUCUUUUGCUGUUCUACAGACAGGUCAUUGCUUCAGCUGUCCAACAUCCAGUUUGUGGUGCUGCACAACAAACCCCACUUUUUAGUGGAUAUAUUCAAGCGAACCCAAAGGCUCUUUUAAGAGCCAUCCACAUUGCACAGGUAAGUCAAUUUUGUGUCAUUUUGAAUCAAGUAAUUCCUUAGUAGUUUUUGAAACACCUGUUCAUUUACAAUUAAUUUAGUACAUAACUGACUGCUUUACAAUUAUAUUCCAAUAACGGGGACAUUUUACCCAAGGAUUGUAUUGUUUAUUAGUGCUAAGUAGGGGUGUAACGGUACGCAAGAUUUAUCUUGGAUUUUUUUUAAGUCACAGUAUUGAAUUGGUUAUGUACCACCUCUGCAUAAAAAUAAUAUUACUGCUCUAUGUGUAACUGCAUAGCAAGCAACAUGAUGAUAUACUUAUUAUACACUCAUAUUAAGAUGAGUGAGUUGCAUACAUUGCCAUCUUUUAUCUUUUGCAUGUUUCUUCUAAUCUUUGCUUGUGUCGCCAAUGUAAGCUGUGACUUAAACUAAUGAACCCCUCCACAGCCUUUCUCUGUCCCGACAAGAUUAACUGAUCACAUUGUGACCAUGAUAUGAUUGACGUGAGGUGCAGAUGAAAAAUCUGAUCACACAUUCCGUUAUUCUCGCUGUCACAGAAAGCGCUGCUCAUGAUUGCAUAGCAACGAAACGCGCGCAACCUCUCACGCACUUUUGAAAGAACAAAACAGUGCGUUAACAUGCAUUUAACACACGCUUUUAGACGGGACACGUAAGCGGCCCCGUAAACGUUUGCAUCAAUAAUCAAACGAAUAUACAGCUAAUUAAAUAAAAACAUGUUAUGUUAUAUUUUUUACAGAAAAAUGAUCACAGUAAUUUCAGUUGUUUGUUGCGGUGACGACAAAAAUGACAAUAAAUUAUUCUCUUCUGUAAAAUAUCAGAUUAGGUUAUGUUUAAGUUGUGUGACUGUGCUGAAAAACAAACAUCACGCAACAACAAUUACACAAUAAUACUUCAAAUCAAUUACAAGUUUAAAAUGUAAACACAGAUUCUGUAUUUAUUUAUACUCUCAUGGUGCAAAAAUAGUGCAAACAGGAAAAGUAACAAUGUCUUUUAGAUGUGUUUCAAAAUUACAACAGAGCUGCAAACCUGAUAAAGUAACAAACAUGUUAAAGUAACCUGAUAAAGUAAAGAAGUUCAGUGUGAAACAGUCAAUAGUCCCUUGCACACAAACAAUCUUUACUGGUAAUUUACUGGCAAAUUGCAGUUAACAGGUCAUGUGUCAACAAAACCUUUCUGGUAAAUCAGUACUCCAAAUUUACCAGUAAGACAGGUUGUAAGAUUACCAGUAAUUUAUCAGUAAGUGCUAUUUGUGAACGAAAAAUAUAGGAUUACCGGCAUAUAGAACAGACGACAUCAGACAGCGCUGACAGCUUCGGCCCAAUCAGAACGUUUUUUUGUUUUUUUUAUAGAUGACACCUUUAUCCCCGCACUGUUUACAGACGUUUCCACACAUGUGCUGCUUAAAAGUCGAGCAUGCCUUAAGUUAACAUCCACAUUUCUUCACCAAAGUUGUUUCAAACAGCUUACCAUCUAUUUGCCAAAUUGCCGACGUCCUUAGCACACCCUCUGUGAUUUGCAGACGGCCCCUAAAGCAGCCUAGGCGGACCGUGGAUAUGCAGCGAAUAUCAAACCUAAAACUAACUUUACCUCACUCCUCUAUGAAGCCUAAUGUGCAAAAGCAGGUUCAGUUUGACGCCGCCUAACGCAAUGUUGUUUGGGCACGAGCAACUUUGUGACCGUCAGAGUUUGCCACAGAUGUGAAAACAACAAAAUACGGAUCGUGGAUAUUAAGUCAUAACCCGCCAUUGUUUACAAAUACGACACUGAGCUCACCGCCCGCUCGCCACAGGUAACUUCCGCUUUUUCUCAGAGUUUACUGGUAUUUUGAUAUGUGUGAAUGAUGUCUUACUAGUAAAAAGACGGAACGUCACUGCAUGUGUGAACAGCACAUUUUUGUAUUUACUGGUAAAUUCAUUCUGGUAAAUUCAUGGUAAUAACAACAAGCACCUCCGCCUUCCGCCAUGUUUGUUUUCACUCCGCAACGUGAACAGUGAAUUGGGCACGCACAAACUACCACAUCAACUAGAUUUAUCGUUGUUAUUGUGAGGCGUCAGAUUUUUGUCGCAAGGAUAAAUUUUGGCGCCCCAGCAUUCGGCCAUUCUGUGCACAUGUGCACCGUGCCGAAAGCCCAGUACCGAAACGGUCAGGUACGAAUACACGGACCGUUAAACCCCUAGUCCUAAGCUCAAGAGCUCCAGGUGAUGCGCGCAUUAUCUUUCUUUAUAUGCAGAUAUAUUAACUUUAACAACAUCAUCACUUACGCAUUCAGCAGUUUAGGUAGAAUUGCACAUAAAGACUGCACGUCAUGUCUUAAGCAAUUCAUAAUAAACCUAUUGCAUAGCCUUUUAUUCACUAUCUUAUAAUACAGUAACACAUUUAGGAAGAAAGACGACAAAGAGCUGCAGGUGUAAAGUGUGUGAUUAGGUGAAGAGAGUUCAGAAAUUGUUUGCGAUACACAGCCCUAAUUGAUAUGACUAGUUUGGCAAUGCUGUGUAUGACUUGGGGGAUAGCAGAAACACAAAAGGUUGAUGACUUUUGUAUAACUUUAAUCAUACCUUGUCUGAACUUUAAACCAAAAUUUGUCUUUCUGUUCUUCUUUUAGGACAUUUUCUUAUUGGACACCUUAUUCAUUAUUACGUACAAAAACGCUGAAAACGUACAAAAACGCUGAAAACGUACAAAAACGCUGAAAACGUACAAAAACGCUUCUUGUGAUUCUGAAAAACGCUUCUUGUGAUUCUGAAAACCCCCUUCCUGUGAGCCUGAAAAUCUUUUUCCUGUGAACCCAACUACUAAAACCAAGUGAACAUUGACAUCAGUUUGUGAACUACAACUACUGCAAGAGAAAAGGAGCUCCAAAACAUCUCUUCCAGUACACCUUGCUGCCUGUUGUCUUCAAGAAGGACCACUGAUUCAAGCUGAGCUUUUGAAGCCUACUGUUUAACGUUACAUUAGUAAAUUUUUUGUGGUGUUGUUUAUCAUACAGGUGUAUUUUAUUUAAAUAGAUUUUAUAAGGUACAAAACACAUACUGUACAGUAGACGUUUAAGUACAUUUGGGUGACAUUUUAUUUAUUAUAAACAUUACAUCUGCGUUACUUAUUACAUUAGUCUGAGUUAUCUGUGUUAUUAAAUCUGUGCCAGUAUUACAUUAGUCUGAGUUAUACCAUCUGUUUUACAUUAAUCUGUGUGAAGUAUUACAUUCGUUUGAGUUAUUACACCUGUGUUAAGUAUUACAUUAGUCUUGAGUUAUUUAAUCUGUGCUAGUAUUACAUUAGUCUGGGUUAUUAGGGGUCAAGCACCGAAGGUGCUGAGACACCUAUUGUAAUUGUUAGUAUUAUUAUUAUUAUUAUUAUUCUGCUUCUUCUUCUUCUUCUUAGCCAUAGGCGUCUAUGGCAGCCCUAUGAACCGUACAUAGGAAAUGAUGAAAUUUGGCACAGUUGUAGUGGUGGUCUUAAAAAGUCAUGUGACCAAAAAUGGGGUCUCUAGUACUAACUCUAUAGCGCCACCAGCAGUUCAAAAAUUCAAUGUUCAAAGGGUUAUAACUUCUGAUCCGCUUGAUCUAUGAAAAUUCUACUUAGUACACGUGAUUGCUCUCCUCAUGCUUGUUGAUUUUAAUACCUUACAGUAAAACUCCACCCAUUACAGUAGCGGCCAUUUUGAAAUGUACAGUAUUCCAUUUUUUCGCUACUCCUCCUUCAAAUGUUGU